This 447-nucleotide ribosomal RNA is filed under the name uncultured bacterium. RNAcentral describes it as "bacterial SSU rRNA". It matches the Rfam family "Bacterial small subunit ribosomal RNA", at positions 40 to 518 of the family's 1533-position model. The record is from RNAcentral.
CGGCAGGCUUAGGCAUGCAAGUCGAACGGAUGACAGAAGAGCUUGCUCUUCUGAAGUCAGUGGCGCACGAGUGAGUAACGCGUGGGAAACUGCCCUUCACUGGGGAAUAACGUUUGGAAACGAACGCUAAUACCGCAUACGCCCGCAAGGGGAAAGAUUUAUCGGUGAUGGAUGUGCCCGCGUUGGAUUAGCUAGUUGGUGGGGUAAUGGCCUACCAAGGCAAUGAUCCAUAGCUGGUCUGAGAGGACGAUCAACCACGCUGGAACUGAGACACGGUCCAGACUCCUACGGGAGGCAGCAGCUAAGAAUAUUGGGCAAUGGAGGAAACUCUGACCCAGCCAAUGCCGCGUGAAUGAAGAAGGCCUUCGGGUUGUAAAGUUCUUUUAGUCAUGAAGAUGAUGACAGUAGUGACAGAAAAGCACCGGCUAACUUCGUGCCAGCCGCAGC